RNAcentral lists this transfer RNA (71 nucleotides) under Muraenesox cinereus (daggertooth pike conger). RNAcentral describes it as "tRNA-Tyr". It matches the Rfam family "tRNA". Rfam says of the family: Transfer RNA (tRNA) molecules are approximately 80 nucleotides in length. Their secondary structure includes four short double-helical elements and three loops (D, anti-codon, and T loops). Further hydrogen bonds mediate the characteristic L-shaped molecular structure. tRNAs have two regions of fundamental functional importance: the anti-codon, which is responsible for specific mRNA codon recognition, and the 3' end, to which the tRNAs corresponding amino acid is attached (by aminoacyl-tRNA synthetases). tRNAs cope with the degeneracy of the genetic code in two manners: having more than one tRNA (with a specific anti-codon) for a particular amino acid; and 'wobble' base-pairing, i.e. permitting non-standard base-pairing at the 3rd anti-codon position. Lineage: Eukaryota; Metazoa; Chordata; Actinopteri; Anguilliformes; Muraenesocidae. The record is from RNAcentral.
GGUAAGAUGGCUGAGUGCCCAAGCGGUGGGCUGUAGACCCAUAAACAGAGAUUCAAUUCCUCUUUUUAUCA